This 627-nucleotide ribosomal RNA is filed under the name uncultured archaeon. Its description in RNAcentral is "bacterial SSU rRNA". It matches the Rfam family "Archaeal small subunit ribosomal RNA", at positions 16 to 653 of the family's 1478-position model. The record is from RNAcentral.
GCCGGACUGACUGCUAUCUGAUUGGUACUAAGCCAUGCGAGUCGUUGUACAUACAUGGCGGACUGCUCAGUAACACAUAGUUAACUUAACCUAUGGAUGGGAAUAACCUCGGGAAACUGAGAAUAAUACCCAAUAGACCACAGUGCCUGGAAUGGCCUGUGGUUGAAAUGAUUUAUCGCCGUAGGAUAGGACUGCGGCCUAUCAGCUUGUUGGUGAGGUAAUGGCCCACCAAGGCUAUAACAGGUACGGGCUCUGAGAGGAGGGGCCCGGAGAUGGGUACUGAGACACGGACCCAGGCCCUAUGGGGCGCAGCAGGCGAGAAACCUUUGCAAUGUGCGAAAGCACGACAAGGUUAAUCCGAGUGUCUCCUGCUAAAGGAGUCUUUUGUCAGUUGUAGAAUCACUGGUGAAUAAGGGGUGGGCAAGUUCUGGUGUCAGCCGCCGCGGUAAAACCAGCACCUCGAGUGGUCAGGAGGUUUAUUGGGCCUAAAGCAUCCGUAGCCGGUUGCAUAAGUUUUCGGUUAAAUCUAUGCGCUUAACGUAUAGGCCGCCGAAAAUACUGUGCAGCUAGGGAGUGGGAGAGGUACACGGUACUCGAUAGGGAGGGGUAAACUCCUUUGAUCUAUGA